GAGUUUGAUCGUGGCUCAGGAUGAACGCUGGCGGCGUGCUUAACACAUGCAAGUCGAACGAAGCGCCUUAUUUGAUUUUCUUCGGAACUGAAGAUUUGGUGACUGAGUGGCGGACGGGUGAGUAACGCGUGGGUAACCUGCCCUGUACAGGGGGAUAACAAUCAGAAAUGACUGCUAAUACCGCAUAAGACCACAGCACCGCAUGGUGCAGGGGUAAAAACUCCGGUGGUACAGGAUGGACCCGCGUCUGAUUAGCUGGUUGGUGAGGUAACGGCUCACCAAGGCGACGAUCAGUAGCCGGCUUGAGAGAGUGAACGGCCACAUUGGGACUGAGACACGGCCCAAACUCCUACGGGAGGCAGCAGUGGGGAAUAUUGCACAAUGGGGGAAACCCUGAUGCAGCAACGCCGCGUGAGUGAAGAAGUAUUUCGGUAUGUAAAGCUCUAUCAGCAGGGAAGAAAGUGACGGUACCUGACUAAGAAGCCCCGGCUAACUACGUGCCAGCCGCGCCGUAAC
RNAcentral lists this ribosomal RNA (516 nucleotides) under uncultured microorganism. Its description in RNAcentral is "bacterial SSU rRNA". It matches the Rfam family "Bacterial small subunit ribosomal RNA", at positions 9 to 524 of the family's 1533-position model. The record is from RNAcentral.